Molecule: long non-coding RNA, 463 nt
Organism: Betta splendens (Siamese fighting fish)
Lineage: Eukaryota; Metazoa; Chordata; Actinopteri; Anabantiformes; Osphronemidae
Exons: 3
Source: RefSeq, a predicted model, not a curated record
GCAGGUUUCACUGUCUGGCUGCCUUGUGUGUCUGCACAGGAGCGGAAGCCAUGAGCAGCUCAGACCUCCAGCGUGCAGCGUGUGGAGCUGCUGCUCGUCCAGAGUGUGUUUACUCUGACAGGUUCCCUUUGCCAACUUCUCAUGACGGCCUAUUGGGUGUCCAGCCUCUGGUCAGCACACAGGGACACGCUGCAAACACUCCAGCCAAACCUGCCAUGCACACAUCUGGAUGCUGCUGCAUGGAAUUCUGUCUUCUCAGGGAGGCGAGGAACAGAGGCCAGGACCAUAUGCUGCGAUAUUUCCUUCUCUAAAACCCCUGGGGUCCAGGUGUUUGCAGCAGAUCCUUUAAGUCCUGUGAGAUGUGAUGUGAGGCCUCCGUGGAUCAGAUGUUUGUCCAGCACAUCCCACAGACGCUCGAUGCGAUUGAGAUCUGGUGACUGUGGAUCCAACUCAACACCUCACA